GAAACUGGCGGCGUGCUAUACAUGCAAGUCGAGCGGACUUGAUGGAGAGCUUGCUCUCCUGAUGGUUAGCGGCGGACGGGUGAGUAACACGUAGGCAACCUGCCUGCAAGACCGGGAUAACCCACGGAAACGUGAGCUAAUACCGGAUAUCUCAUUUCCUCUCCUGAGGGAAUGAUGAAAGACGGAGCAAUCUGUCACUUGCGGAUGGGCCUGCGGCGCAUUAGCUAGUUGGUGAGGUAACGGCUCACCAAGGCGACGAUGCGUAGCCGACCUGAGAGGGUGAACGGCCACACUGGGACUGAGACACGGCCCAGACUCCUACGGGAGGCAGCAGUAGGGAAUCUUCCGCAAUGGGCGAAAGCCUGACGGAGCAACGCCGCGUGAGUGAUGAAGGUUUUCGGAUCGUAAAGCUCUGUUGCCAGGGAAGAACGUCCGGUAGAGUAACUGCUAUCGGAGUGACGGUACCUGAGAAGAAAGCCCCGGCUAACUACGUGCCAGCAGCCGCGGUAAUACGUAGGGGGCAAGCGUUGUCCGGAAUUAUUGGGCGUAAAGCGCGCGCAGGCGGUCAUUUAAGUCUGGUGUUUAAGGCCAAGGCUCAACCUUGGUUCGCACUGGAAACUGGGUGACUUGAGUGCAGAAGAGGAGAGUGGAAUUCCACGUGUAGCGGUGAAAUGCGUAGAUAUGUGGAGGAACACCAGUGGCGAAGGCGACUCUCUGGGCUGUAACUGACGCUGAGGCGCGAAAGCGUGGGGAGCAACAGGAUUAGAUACCCUGGUAGUCCCGCCGUAACGAUGAAUGCUAGGUGGUAGGGGUUUCGAUACCCUUGGGUGCCAAGUAACACAUUAAGCAUCCCGCCUGGGGAUACGGUCGCAAACUGAACUCCAAGGAUUGACGGGACCCGCCAAGCAGUGGAGUUGGGGUUAUUCG
This 927-nucleotide ribosomal RNA is filed under the name Paenibacillus cineris. RNAcentral's name for it is "bacterial SSU rRNA". It matches the Rfam family "Bacterial small subunit ribosomal RNA", at positions 32 to 953 of the family's 1533-position model. Lineage: Bacteria; Bacillati; Bacillota; Bacilli; Caryophanales; Paenibacillaceae. The record is from RNAcentral.